RNAcentral lists this unclassified non-coding RNA (253 nucleotides) under uncultured Alphaproteobacteria bacterium. RNAcentral describes it as "contains 16S-23S intergenic spacer region". It matches the Rfam family "Bacterial small subunit ribosomal RNA", at positions 524 to 776 of the family's 1533-position model. Lineage: Bacteria; Pseudomonadati; Pseudomonadota; Alphaproteobacteria. The record is from RNAcentral.
UACGGAGGGGGCUAGCGUUGUUCGGAAUCACUGGGCGUAAAGCGCACGUAGGCGGACCAGCCAGUCAGGGGUGAAAUCCCAAGGCUCAACCUUGGAACUGCCUUUGAUACUGUUGGUCUUGAGGUCGAGAGAGGUGAGUGGAAUUCCUAGUGUAGAGGUGAAAUUCGUAGAUAUUAGGAAGAACACCAGUGGCGAAGGCGGCUCACUGGCUCGAUACUGACGCUGAGGUGCGAAAGCGUGGGGAGCAAACAGG